GUACAAACUCUGCCAUCAUAUCCAAGACAUUGCAUUGUGAGGACUGUUGCCCUGGGAACACUGAGCGCAUUCUCGAAAAUUCCAAAUUUGUGCCACUUCCAUACGAAGACAGCCCAGAAUAAUUGGGCUCCAUCAACCAUCCCGGGUAAAGUCGGUCUGUCCUGAUUGCACUACUUGCUAAUUGAUGACGUCUAGAAGCCAUAGCUGCUUCCCUGGCAGCCCUCACAAAUAAACUGAUACCAGGAAUUAACAUACAGUAGAUGGUGAUGGUGGUGGUGACAAGGGUGCCUUCACAAGGUGCCAUGUCACAAUCUCAGUGUGGAGCCAAAGGCUGCUAUUGCAAGUCAGAUGGGGGACGAUCGAUGUAAGGCAUCAGAAAGGUGGUGUACGUACAAAGGCUGGAGCUGCUGGAGACAGUGUUGCACUUAGAUACUUGAUUUACUGCCGAAGGUACCAUCAGAGCACCACCCUACCCCUGCAGGACCAGAAGAGGACGGACAGGGGGCCAACAUUUUU
Sardina pilchardus (European sardine) is the source of this 516-nucleotide long non-coding RNA. RefSeq lists it as uncharacterized. The transcript is spliced from 6 exons. Lineage: Eukaryota; Metazoa; Chordata; Actinopteri; Clupeiformes; Clupeidae. The record is from RefSeq and is a predicted model, not a curated record.